UCCUACGGGAGGCAGCAGUGGGGAAUCUUAGACAAUGGGGGCAACCCUGAUCUAGCCAUGCCGCGUGAGUGAUGAAGGCCUUAGGGUCGUAAAGCUCUUUCGCCUGUGAUGAUAAUGACAGUAGCAGGUAAAGAAACCCCGGCUAACUCCGUGCCAGCAGCCGCGGUAAUACGGAGGGGGUUAGCGUUGUUCGGAAUUACUGGGCGUAAAGCGCGCGUAGGCGGAUUAGAAAGUUGGGGGUGAAAUCCCGGGGCUCAACCUCGGAACUGCCUCCAAAACUGCUAGUCUAGAGUUCGAGAGAGGUGAGUGGAAUUCCGAGUGUAGAGGUGAAAUUCGUAGAUAUUCGGAGGAACACCAGUGGCGAAGGCGGCUCACUGGCUCGAUACUGACGCUGAGGUGCGAAAGUGUGGGGAGCAAACAGGAUUAGAUACCCUGGUAGUCCACACCGUAAACGAUGAAUGCCAGUCGUCGGGUAGUAUACUAUUCGGUGACACACCUAACGGAUUAAGCAUUCCGCCUGGGGAGUACGGUCGCAAGAUUAAAACUCAAAUGAAUUGACGGA
This 562-nucleotide ribosomal RNA is filed under the name uncultured bacterium. RNAcentral's name for it is "bacterial SSU rRNA". It matches the Rfam family "Bacterial small subunit ribosomal RNA", at positions 337 to 917 of the family's 1533-position model. The record is from RNAcentral.